AGAGUUUGAUUCUGGCUCAGGAUGAACGCUAGCUACAGGCUUAACACAUGCAAGUCGAGGGGCAGCAUGGGAGUUGCUUGCAAUUCCUGAUGGCGACCGGCGCACGGGUGAGUAACGCGUAUCCAACCAUCCCCUUAGUAGGGCAUAGCCCGGUGAAAAUCGGAUUAACACCCUAUGUUCUUCACAGCAGACAUCUAACGUGAAGCAAAGGUUCACCGCUAAGGGAUGGGGAUGCGUCUGAUUAGGUAGUAGGCGGGGUAACGGCCCACCUAGCCUUCGAUCAGUAGGGGUUCUGAGAGGAAGGUCCCCCACAUUGGAACUGAGACACGGUCCAAACUCCUACGGGAGGCAGCAGUGAGGAAUAUUGGUCAAUGGGCGAGAGCCUGAACCAGCCAAGUAGCCGUGCAGGAUGACGGCCCUAUGGGUUGUAAACUGCUUUUAUAUGGGGAUAAAGUUCACCACGUGUGGUGUUUUGUAGGUACCAUAUGAAUAAGGACCGGCUAAUUCCGUGCCAGCCGCCGC
RNAcentral lists this ribosomal RNA (522 nucleotides) under uncultured bacterium. Its description in RNAcentral is "bacterial SSU rRNA". It matches the Rfam family "Bacterial small subunit ribosomal RNA", at positions 8 to 518 of the family's 1533-position model. The record is from RNAcentral.